UACCUCAAAAUUCCGCAACAGUCUGUUUCAUCAGUAAAGAAUCAUGAUGAUUCUUUACUGAUGAUGAUUCUUUACUGAUGAUUCUUUGCUGAUGAAACAGACUGUUGCGGAAUUU
Non-coding RNA from Paramuricea clavata, 115 nucleotides. The record is from the annotation of a GenBank genome assembly. Lineage: Eukaryota; Metazoa; Cnidaria; Anthozoa; Malacalcyonacea; Plexauridae.